This 163-nucleotide ribosomal RNA is filed under the name uncultured bacterium. RNAcentral's name for it is "partial 16S ribosomal RNA". It matches the Rfam family "Bacterial small subunit ribosomal RNA", at positions 355 to 511 of the family's 1533-position model. The record is from RNAcentral.
UAGGGAAUCUUCCACAAUGGGCGAAAGCCUGAUGGAGCAACGCCGCGUGUGUGAUGAAGGGUUUCGGCUCGUAAACACUGUUGUAAGAGAAGAAUGACAUUGAGAGUAACUGUUCAAUGUGUGACGGUAUCUUACCAGAAAGGAACGGCUAAAUACGUGACAG